Choloepus didactylus (southern two-toed sloth) is the source of this 183-nucleotide long non-coding RNA. RefSeq lists it as uncharacterized. The record is from RefSeq and is a predicted model, not a curated record. The transcript has 3 exons. Lineage: Eukaryota; Metazoa; Chordata; Mammalia; Pilosa; Megalonychidae.
GGAUAAGACGAGUGUGGCCUAGGAGGCGUCAGACGUGGCCCUUGUAACCAGGUCUCUUAAAUGUGGCCUUGUGGGAUAAGGAAAUGGAUGUAUCAAGAGGUCAAGUAAGUUGUUUCAAGAUAACAUAGCUGGCUACUUUCCUCUAACAGCUAGUGAGACCUGAGGCCCAUAGACCUAUAGCCC